Molecule: long non-coding RNA, 1719 nt
Organism: Bos taurus (domestic cattle)
Lineage: Eukaryota; Metazoa; Chordata; Mammalia; Artiodactyla; Bovidae
Source: Ensembl
AAGGAGAGGGCUUUACAUCCAGAGGAUAUUUUACCAUGGAAUCACAAUCCUUGGAUUCUAAACAAAGCCAGUCUCCAGGAAGGCAUUCGGCCCCUGCCUCGCUUCCGGAGCAGCUGAACUUCACACCCUUUGUCAGAGCUAUCCGAGAGAAACACCUGCGCGGCAGCCACCGCGGCCCCCGGUGCGGUCACGCGCGCCGGGUCCAGCCCGGGGCUCCGGGCUUGAGCGCGCGGCCUCCGCUGGCCGGAAGGAGACUCCGCGGUCGGGGGAGGGGGCACGGCCUCGCUGCGGAGGUGAUGGACGCGCUACCCCCAGCGCCGGCAAGGGCAUCCGGCAGCCGCUGUUUGCGCGGAGGCGGCUGGGAGCCCUAGCCCCGCCGGCUCUCGUGUAGGUUGCGGUGGGGGGGCGUUUGCGGGGACCCGCGCGGUGGGGCGCUAUCGGUAAUGGAGGCUCCGAGACGGCGCAGCUGCGCUAAGGGCGCGUUUAGGAGACGAGAUAAUAAUACCAAGAUGUCAGAAACGAAAAGCCUUCCCAGCCACAAGCGAUUUAAAGGUGUGACUUUUGAACGCAGCAGCAGUCCAAACAGCGCUUGACCGUGUGGUGCGGAGACCCGCCCAGGAGAGGACGGGGCGGCACUCACCCGCGGGCCCUCGGGCCGGCGGUCCUCGGCGCGCGCAGGUGCUCCGGCCGCUCGCGUGCUGAGCGCGCCCCGCCGGCCCCAGGCCCAGUCCACGCCCGGCUCCGGCGGCCGGAGAGCGCGACUCGCGCGGCGCGAGGAGGAGGCCCGGUCCUGCCGCAGCCUCCUCUGCGCCCGGCUCCGCGGUCGCUAUGGAAACCAGGCGCAGCCCGAAAGUCGGAGACCCCGGACGCUGGGCUGCUCAGCGACCUGCGCCUCUGCUGGGGUCCGGACCCGGCCUCACUCUGCACGAGCACUGGACUGCAGCGGCCCGCGGACUGGAAAGCAAUCUGCCAAGCCCUAAGGAAGGCAGAUGGAAGGCUGGAGAGCUCGGAAUAAAUUCCUCAGCAUUUGCCUAUUAUAAUCGGAGCAGAAAGAAGCCUUAGCGAUGAUCGCGUCUUCAAGGAUCGUUGGCUUCAGUAAGACAUACAUCAAGCUGAGUGGCGGAGAGCAGAGCGACUCCAGCAGCACCCUCAGGACAGGGCUGAUGCCUCCAAGAGCCCCGCGACUCCUGAGUGUCUCUGUUGCUGCCUGAUAAUCCCACCGUCCCUACCUCUUUUUCCUUUUUUUUUGGUAAUACCACCUUCUAUCAGAUUAUGUUAACACCUCAGGCCUUUUAAGGUCUGCAUAGUAUUCUGGGGCACAAGUGUCCUAUUUAAUAUUUAUUUUAUCUUUUGGCUUCACUGGGUCUUCGGAACUGCCAGCCCUGGCUUAGUUGCCCCUCAGCCUGUGGGAUCUUUGUUCCCCAACCAGGGAUGGAACCUGUGUCACCUGCUUUGGAGGGCGGAUUCUCGACCACUGGACCGUGGGUGCAGUCUCCCUCCCUGCCACCUUGGCUCUUCUGUUGUCCACAACCAUUAAUGAGGCUCCCAGGCUUGAAGCAACAAGCAAGCAAGUCAAUACUCUUCCCACCUGGACACCAUGGGCCUGCGGGCCUGGGAGCAGCCAGGCUCCCCCGUGGACUCUGUCAAAUCUGCUGAGACAAAGGCCAGAUGGAGGCUGGAUUUCAGGGGUCACGCAGAGAGCAUCUGCUCUGUUACAGG